UACGAGAGGCCCAAACGUUAUUCGGAAUUACUGGGCUUAAAGAGUUCGUAGGCGGCGCAGAAAGUAGGGUGUGAAAGCCCUCGGCUCAACCGAGGAAUUGCGCUCUAAACUACUGUGCUUGAGGAAGCUAGAGGUGAGCGGAACUGAUGGUGGAGCGGUGAAAUGCGUUGAUAUCAUCAGGAACACCGGAGGCGAAGGCGGCUCACUGGGGCUUUUCUGACGCUGAGGCGCGAAAGCCAGGGGAGCAAACGGG
This 253-nucleotide ribosomal RNA is filed under the name uncultured bacterium. RNAcentral describes it as "partial 16S ribosomal RNA". It matches the Rfam family "Bacterial small subunit ribosomal RNA", at positions 524 to 776 of the family's 1533-position model. The record is from RNAcentral.